UAGCGUAUAUUAAAGUUGUUGCGGUUAAAAAGCUCGUAGUUGGAUUUCAGUUCUGGACUGACGGUUCACCGCCCGGUGCACACUGUCACGCUCCGAACAGCCGUAACACAGCCCGCUGGCUCGCACGGGGUGCUCUUCACCGGGUGUCCCGCGUGGCCGGCAGAGUUUACUUUGAAAAAAUUAGAGUGCUCAAAGCAGGCUACACUGAUGGCCUGAAUGCCUAUGCAUGGAAUAAUGGAAUAGGACCUCGGUUCUAUUUUGUCGGUUUUCUGAACCCGAGGUAAUGACUAAUAGGAACAGGCGGGGGCAUUCGUAUUGCGACGCUAGAGGUGAAAUUCUUGGACCGUCGCAAGACGAACUACUGCGAAAGCAUUUGCCAAGGAUGUUUUCAUUAAUCAAGAACGAAAGUUAGAGGUUCGAAGGCGAUCAGAUACCGCCCUAGUUCUAACCAUAAACGAUGCUGACCAGCGAUCCGCCGGUGUUAUUCCCAUGACCCGGCGGGCAGCUUCCGGGAAACCAAAGUCUUUGGGUUCCGGGGGAAGUAUGGUUGCAAAGCUGAAACUUAAAGGAAUUGACGGAAGGGCACCACCAGGAGUGGAGCCUGCGGCUUAAUUUGACUCAACACGGGGAACCUCACCAGGCCCAGACACCGGAAGGAUUGACAGAUUGAGAGCUCUUUCUCGAUUCGGUGGGUGGUGGUGCAUGGCCGUUCUUAGUUGGUGGAGCGAUUUGUCUGGUUAAUUCCGAUAACGAACGAGACUCUGGCCUACUAACUAGUCGACGGAUCUCCAGCAAUUGGUGUCCAGUUCGCAGCUUCUUCUUAGAGGGAUAAGCGGCAAUUCUAGCCGCACGAGAUUGAGCA
Molecule: ribosomal RNA, 862 nt
Filed under: Scylla serrata (giant mud crab)
Lineage: Eukaryota; Metazoa; Arthropoda; Malacostraca; Decapoda; Portunidae
Description: SSU rRNA
Rfam family: Eukaryotic small subunit ribosomal RNA
Source: RNAcentral